This 409-nucleotide ribosomal RNA is filed under the name bacterium. Its description in RNAcentral is "partial 16S ribosomal RNA". It matches the Rfam family "Bacterial small subunit ribosomal RNA", at positions 355 to 776 of the family's 1533-position model. The record is from RNAcentral.
UGGGGAAUAUUGCACAAUGGGCGAAAGCCUGAUGCAGCGACGCCGCGUGAGGGAUGACGGCCUUCGGGUUGUAAACCUCUUUCAGUAGGGACGAAGCGCAAGUGACGGUACCUGCAGAAGAAGCACCGGCUAACUACGUGCCAGCAGCCGCGGUAAUACGUAGGGUGCGAGCGUUGUCCGGAAUUACUGGGCGUAAAGAGCUCGUAGGCGGUUUGUCACGUCGUCUGUGAAAUCCUAGGGCUUAACCCUGGACGUGCAGGCGAUACGGGCUGACUUGAGUGCUACAGGGGAGACUGGAAUUUCUGGUGUAGCGGUGGAAUGCACAGAUAUCAGGAAGAACACCGAUGGCGAAGGCAGGUCUCUGGGUAGUAACUGACGCUGAGGAGCGAAAGCAUGGGUAGCGAACAGG